AGCGAACGCUGGCGGUAGGCCUAACACAUGCCAGUCGAACGGCAGCACAGUAAGAGCUUGCUCUUACGGGUGGCGAGUGGCGGACGGGUGAGGAAUACAUCGGAAUCUACUUUUUCGUGGGGGAUAACGUAGGGAAACUUACGCUAAUACCGCAUACGACCUACGGGUGAAAGCAGGGGAUCUUCGGACCUUGCGCGAUUGAAUGAGCCGAUGUCGGAUUAGCUAGUUGGCGGGGUAAAGGCCCACCAAGGCGACGAUCCGUAGCUGGUCUGAGAGGAUGAUCAGCCACACUGGAACUGAGACACGGUCCAGACUCCUACGGGAGGCAGCAGUGGGGAAUAUUGGACAAUGGGCGCAAGCCUGAUCCAGCCAUACCGCGUGGGUGAAGAAGGCCUUCGGGUUGUAAAGCCCUUUUGUUGGAAAAGAAAAGCAGCAGGUUAAUACCCCGCUGUUCUGACGGUACCCAAAGAAUAAGCACCGGCUAACUUCGU
Molecule: ribosomal RNA, 491 nt
Filed under: uncultured bacterium
Lineage: Bacteria
Description: partial 16S ribosomal RNA
Rfam family: Bacterial small subunit ribosomal RNA
Source: RNAcentral